GGCUCAGAACGAACGCUGGCGGCGUGGCUAAAACAUGCAAGUCGAACGCGAAAGGGAGCAAUCCCAAGUAGAGUGGCGAAAGGGCGAGUAAUGCGUUUCUAACGUACCCCAGACUCGAGGAUAGCUCACCGAAAGGUGAAUUAAUACUCGAUGAUGCUCACGGGUUGUAUGACCUGUGUGCCAAAGGCUUGCUGGUCUGGGAGCGGGGAACGUCCUAUCAGGUAGUUGGUGAGGUAAUGGCUCAGCAAGCCUAUGACGGGUAGCGGGUGUGAGAGCACGGCCCGCCGCAUCGGGACUGAGACAGAGCCCGGACUCCUACGUGUGGCAGCAGUAA
This 334-nucleotide ribosomal RNA is filed under the name uncultured Phycisphaera sp. RNAcentral describes it as "bacterial SSU rRNA". It matches the Rfam family "Bacterial small subunit ribosomal RNA", at positions 21 to 357 of the family's 1533-position model. Lineage: Bacteria; Pseudomonadati; Planctomycetota; Phycisphaerae; Phycisphaerales; Phycisphaeraceae. The record is from RNAcentral.